GGGUUGUGAGGUUAAGCGACUAAGCGUACACGGUGGAUGCCCUGGCAGUCAGAGGCGAUGAAGGGCGUGCUAAUCUGCGAUAAGCGCCGGUAAGGUGAUAUGAACCGUUAUAACCGGCGAUACCCGAAUGGGGAAACCCAGUGUGACUCGUCACACUAUCAUUAACUGAAUCCAUAGGUUAAUGAGGCGAACCGGGGGAACUGAAACAUCUAAGUACCCCGAGGAAAAGAAAUCAACCGAGAUUCCCCCAGUAGCGGCGAGCGAACGGGGAGGAGCCCAGAGCCUGAAUCAGCAUGUGUGUUAGUGGAAGCGUCUGGAAAGGCGCGCGAUACAGGGUGACAGCCCCGUACACAAAAGCGCAUGUGCUGUGAGCUCGAUGAGUAGGGCGGGACACGUGGUAUCCUGUCUGAAUAUGGGGGGACCAUCCUCCAAGGCUAAAUACUCCUGACUGACCGAUAGUGAACCAGUACCGUGAGGGAAAGGCGAAAAGAACCCCGGCGAGGGGAGUGAAAAAGAACCUGAAACCGUGUACGUACAAGCAGUGGGAGCACCCUUUUGGGUGUGACUGCGUACCUUUUGUAUAAUGGGUCAGCGACUUAUAUUCUGUAGCAAGGUUAACCGAAUAGGGGAGCCGGAGGGAAACCGAGUCUUAAUUGGGCGUUAAGUUGCAGGGUAUAGACCCGAAACCCGGUGAUCUAGCCAUGGGCAGGUUGAAGGUUGGGUAACACUAACUGGAGGACCGAACCGACUAAUGUUGAAAAAUUAGCGGAUGACCUGUGGCUGGGGGUGAAAGGCCAAUCAAACCGGGAGAUAGCUGGUUCUCCCCGAAAGCUAUUUAGGUAGCGCCUCGUGAAUUCAUCUCCGGGGGUAGAGCACUGUUUCGGCUAGGGGGCCAUCCCGGCUUACCAACCCGAUGCAAACUGCGAAUACCGGAGAAUGUUAUCACGGGAGACACACGGCGGGUGCUAACGUCCGUCGUGAAGAGGGAAACAACCCAGACCGCCAGCUAAGGUCCCAAAGUCAUGGUUAAGUGGGAAACGAUGUGGGAAGGCCCAGACAGCCAGGAUGUUGGCUUAGAAGCAGCCAUCAUUUAAAGAAAGCGUAAUAGCUCACUGGUCGAGUCGGCCUGCGCGGAAGAUGUAACGGGGCUAAACCAUGCACCGAAGCUGCGGCAGCGACACUAUGUGUUGUUGGGUAGGGGAGCGUUCUGUAAGCCUGUGAAGGUGUGCUGUGAGGCAUGCUGGAGGUAUCAGAAGUGCGAAUGCUGACAUAAGUAACGAUAAAGCGGGUGAAAAGCCCGCUCGCCGGAAGACCAAGGGUUCCUGUCCAACGUUAAUCGGGGCAGGGUGAGUCGACCCCUAAGGCGAGGCCGAAAGGCGUAGUCGAUGGGAAACGGGUUAAUAUUCCCGUACUUGGUGUUACUGCGAAGGGGGGACGGAGAAGGCUAUGUUGGCCGGGCGACGGUUGUCCCGGUUUAAGCGUGUAGGCUGGUUUUCCAGGCAAAUCCGGAAAAUCAAGGCUGAGGCGUGAUGACGAGGCACUACGGUGCUGAAGCAACAAAUGCCCUGCUUCCAGGAAAAGCCUCUAAGCAUCAGGUAACAUCAAAUCGUACCCCAAACCGACACAGGUGGUCAGGUAGAGAAUACCAAGGCGCUUGAGAGAACUCGGGUGAAGGAACUAGGCAAAAUGGUGCCGUAACUUCGGGAGAAGGCACGCUGACACGUAGGUGAAGUGAUUUACUCAUGGAGCUGAAGUCAGUCGAAGAUACCAGCUGGCUGCAACUGUUUAUUAAAAACACAGCACUGUGCAAACACGAAAGUGGACGUAUACGGUGUGACGCCUGCCCGGUGCCGGAAGGUUAAUUGAUGGGGUCAGCGCAAGCGAAGCUCCUGAUCGAAGCCCCGGUAAACGGCGGCCGUAACUAUAACGGUCCUAAGGUAGCGAAAUUCCUUGUCGGGUAAGUUCCGACCUGCACGAAUGGCGUAAUGAUGGCCAGGCUGUCUCCACCCGAGACUCAGUGAAAUUGAACUCGCUGUGAAGAUGCAGUGUACCCGCGGCAAGACGGAAAGACCCCGUGAACCUUUACUAUAGCUUGACACUGAACAUUGAGCCUUGAUGUGUAGGAUAGGUGGGAGGCUUUGAAGUGUGGACGCCAGUCUGCAUGGAGCCGACCUUGAAAUACCACCCUUUAAUGUUUGAUGUUCUAACGUGGACCCGUGAUCCGGGUUGCGGACAGUGUCUGGUGGGUAGUUUGACUGGGGCGGUCUCCUCCUAAAGAGUAACGGAGGAGCACGAAGGUUGGCUAAUCCUGGUCGGACAUCAGGAGGUUAGUGCAAUGGCAUAAGCCAGCUUGACUGCGAGCGUGACGGCGCGAGCAGGUGCGAAAGCAGGUCAUAGUGAUCCGGUGGUUCUGAAUGGAAGGGCCAUCGCUCAACGGAUAAAAGGUACUCCGGGGAUAACAGGCUGAUACCGCCCAAGAGUUCAUAUCGACGGCGGUGUUUGGCACCUCGAUGUCGGCUCAUCACAUCCUGGGGCUGAAGUAGGUCCCAAGGGUAUGGCUGUUCGCCAUUUAAAGUGGUACGCGAGCUGGGUUUAGAACGUCGUGAGACAGUUCGGUCCCUAUCUGCCGUGGGCGCUGGAGAACUGAGGGGGGCUGCUCCUAGUACGAGAGGACCGGAGUGGACGCAUCACUGGUGUUCGGGUUGUCAUGCCAAUGGCACUGCCCGGUAGCUAAAUGCGGAAGAGAUAAGUGCUGAAAGCAUCUAAGCACGAAACUUGCCCCGAGAUGAGUUCUCCCUGAGACUUUAAGUCUCCUGAAGGAACGUUGAAGACGACGACGUUGAUAGGCCGGGUGUGUAAGCGCAGCGAUGCGUUGAGCUAACCGGUACUAAUGAACCGUGAGGCUUAACCUUACAACGCCGAAG
This 2924-nucleotide ribosomal RNA is filed under the name Salmonella enterica subsp. enterica serovar Cerro str. CFSAN001588. RNAcentral's name for it is "bacterial LSU rRNA". It matches the Rfam family "Bacterial large subunit ribosomal RNA". Lineage: Bacteria; Pseudomonadati; Pseudomonadota; Gammaproteobacteria; Enterobacterales; Enterobacteriaceae. The record is from RNAcentral.